This is a small nuclear RNA of Gastrolobium bilobum, 102 nucleotides long. The record is from RefSeq and is a predicted model, not a curated record. NCBI's taxonomy places the organism in Eukaryota, Viridiplantae, Streptophyta, Magnoliopsida, Fabales, Fabaceae.
GUCCCUUUGGAGACAUCUGUUAAGGUUAGAACGAUACAAAGAAUAUUGAUAGAUUAGCAUGGACCCUGUGCACGCACAAUUCGAGAAAAGGUCCAAAUUUAU